Molecule: unclassified non-coding RNA, 305 nt
Filed under: plant metagenome
Description: partial contains 5.8S ribosomal RNA, internal transcribed spacer 2, and large subunit ribosomal RNA
Rfam family: 5.8S ribosomal RNA (bases 1-104)
Source: RNAcentral
AAAUGCGAUAAGUAAUGUGAAUUGCAGAAUUCAGUGAAUCAUCGAAUCUUUGAACGCACAUUGCGCCCGCCAGUAUUCUGGCGGGCACGCCUGUCCGAGCGUCAUUUCAACCAUCAAGCCCCCGGGCUUGUGUUGGGGACCUGCGGCUGCCCGCAGGCCCUGAAAACCAGUGGCGGGCUCGCUGUCACACCGAGCGUAGUAGCAAUCACCUCGCUCAGGGCGUGCUGCGGGUUCCGGCCGUUAAACAGCCUUACAAAACCCAAGGUUGACCUCGGAUCAGGUAGGAAGACCCGCUGAACUUAAGC